RNAcentral lists this non-coding RNA (21 nucleotides) under Caenorhabditis elegans. Lineage: Eukaryota; Metazoa; Nematoda; Chromadorea; Rhabditida; Rhabditidae. The record is from RNAcentral.
UGCUUUGUUUUUCUGACUCAA